This 343-nucleotide ribosomal RNA is filed under the name uncultured Vibrio sp. RNAcentral describes it as "bacterial SSU rRNA". It matches the Rfam family "Bacterial small subunit ribosomal RNA", at positions 54 to 392 of the family's 1533-position model. The record is from RNAcentral. Lineage: Bacteria; Pseudomonadati; Pseudomonadota; Gammaproteobacteria; Vibrionales; Vibrionaceae.
AGCGCGCGUGGGGCGGUAACAGAAAUUAGCUUGCUAAUUUGCUGACGAGCGGCGGACGGGUGAGUAAUGCCUGGGAAUAUGCCUUGAUGUGGGGGAUAACUAUUGGAAACGAUAGCUAAUACCGCAUAAUGUCUUCGGACCAAAGAGGGGGAUCUUCGGACCUCUCGCGUCAAGAUUAGCCCAGGUGAGAUUAGCUAGUUGGUGGGGUAAGAGCUCACCAAGGCGACGAUCUCUAGCUGGUCUGAGAGGAUGAUCAGCCACACUGGAACUGAGACACGGUCCAGACUCCUACGGGAGGCAGCAGUGGGGAAUAUUGCACAAUGGGCGAAAGCCUGAUGCAGCC